CAGAGAAUAGUUUAGUAUAAAAUAAUAAUUUUGGAGAUUAUUGACAAAGAUUUAUCUUUUUCUCUGA
This 67-nucleotide transfer RNA is filed under the name Eumantispa harmandi. Its description in RNAcentral is "tRNA-Pro". The record is from RNAcentral. Lineage: Eukaryota; Metazoa; Arthropoda; Insecta; Neuroptera; Mantispidae.